AAAGUCCGUCGGAAAUCCGUCACUGAUUUGAUUCUCAUCUUUAUAUUCUUCUACCAUUGAUAAUUGGUAACAUUGAUAAUUCUCAUCUUUAUAUUCUUCUACCAUCAUUCACAAAUUUGAUUCACAAAUCAUGUGACCAAUCAAAAUUUGCCACAUAGAUUUUUUCUAAUUUAAAUAAUUAACAUAAAAUCUGUAAAAGAAAUUUGAGAUCGUUAUACAAAAAUGUGCAAUCAAAUUUUGACAUAUGGCAAGUUUAUCAGAAAAGUAAGGAAAUUAACGAAGAUGAAAAAAAUUCAAAGGUAAAAUAACAAAUCAUAUUUUGCCACAUCAUUUGACACCAGAAUAUUUGUUCUUCUCCACGAUCUCCUAUCUUCACCGUUUCUACUCCACGAUUUUCAUCUAACUGCUUCAUCUGCAUCUUUAAAAGACUCGAAAUUGCUUUUUCUCUCCCUUGACGAACUCACUAUCUUCUUCUCACUUGUGCUGACUCUCUUUCUCAAAUCCAAAAACUCAUUCAAUCACUAUUGGAGUUCGCUAUGUAUACAACAUCUAAGAAGAGACAUUGGCAUUUAGCAUAUGCCAUUUAGCAUAAGUGCCUAAAUAAUUCUUUAUUUUUUCUUCUUCGAGGUAACAACUUCUUCAAUCUGUAGCUUUACUUUAAAAGUGUAAUUCAUAUACUUCUUUAACAACUAAGCUUGAUACACUUGGUUUUUUUUUUUUGGUCAAAGGCUUGGUACAUUUGGUUAACAAUUGAGAUUUCUCUUAUUUGGUGGCAGAAUAGAG
Molecule: long non-coding RNA, 783 nt
Organism: Arabidopsis thaliana (thale cress)
Lineage: Eukaryota; Viridiplantae; Streptophyta; Magnoliopsida; Brassicales; Brassicaceae
Product: other RNA
Exons: 1
Source: RefSeq